RNAcentral lists this small nucleolar RNA (61 nucleotides) under Ornithorhynchus anatinus (platypus). RNAcentral describes it as "Small nucleolar RNA SNORD48 (ENSOANG00000039418.1)". It matches the Rfam family "Small nucleolar RNA SNORD48". Rfam says of the family: U48 belongs to the C/D class of snoRNA which contain the C (UGAUGA) and D (CUGA) box motifs. Most of the members of the box C/D family function in directing site-specific 2'-O-methylation of substrate RNAs. Lineage: Eukaryota; Metazoa; Chordata; Mammalia; Monotremata; Ornithorhynchidae. The record is from Rfam by way of RNAcentral.
GGGAAUGAUGACCCCCUUCCACUGAGUGUCCCGGUGACGUCACCACCGCAGCGCACUGACC